AUAUAUAUAUAUACACACACACACACACGUGUCACACAUUACAUGUCCUCUAAGAAGUAAAGAUCCUGUGUUUAAACUAUUCAGUACAAUUAUUUAAGUUUAAAUUAUUUAAUAUCUGAUAAACUGAGCCUGGUGUCUGAUCAACAACUGUUGUAAACGUCCGUUUUACUGCCAAGUUGGUAUAUAACCAGAUACUGCAGAAAGAGGGGAUUUAUUUCUGACAUGAUCCUCACAAUAGAGAUUUCUAUUUUAAGGCUUUCACACCGAGUCUGGUUUUAACAUAUGAAAAACAGGCUCGUCAGAAUUUGAAAAUGAACGCAUGUAAAUGAAUGGCGUCUUUCACAUCCAGUCCGGCGAGCACCUUUACACGGACACGUGAAUCCAUCGUAGCACGCACUUCACGCCUGUACCUGCGUGCCCAAAUUUCGGAUAACUCGGCGCUUUUGCGGGCGCUUCCCACAUGGGUUGUGCACGACUACAAAGAGGUUUUAUUUAGGUUCAGAUUAAAAUUAUAAACUAAACACAUACUUUGCGCUGCACGGCGGGGUGGUGUUCUUGGAGAUGGGAGAACAGGUUUGACGUAUGUCCACCUUUAGCUGUGACUUUACGGCCACAUUGAUUAUAAAUCGGAUACCCAUCCUCGGGUGCGUUCGGCGGGUCUCUGAAAUAGUCCCACACUGCUGAUUUUAGUUUAGCCUUUUUUUAGGCGGACGGAGAUUUGUUUAGUCUGAUGCACUUUCUGCUGUUCUCACCGCUGUGUGCUGAGCAGCUGAAGCGGAGCAGAGUUGCGCAUGUGCGGGUGAGUUUCUCCGCUGGCUUGCGUUUUACCGGUAAUAAGCAAACACACACGGUAUGAUAACCGUGCAUUUUAAUACCAUGGUAUACCGUGAAACCGGUUACCGCUGCAACCCUAGGUAGGUGAUAUGGCUCUAAUAUAAUAUCACAAUAUUCUAUGUUUUUUUUUUUUUUUUUUUUUUUUUUUUUUUUAGGGG
Astyanax mexicanus (Mexican tetra) is the source of this 992-nucleotide long non-coding RNA. RefSeq lists it as uncharacterized. The record is from RefSeq and is a predicted model, not a curated record. Lineage: Eukaryota; Metazoa; Chordata; Actinopteri; Characiformes; Acestrorhamphidae. The transcript has 2 exons.